UGCCGCUUAGCUCAGGAGUAGAGCAGUCGGUUGAUAACCGACAGGCCGCUGGUGCGAAUCCAGCAGCGGCGACCA
Molecule: transfer RNA, 75 nt
Filed under: Betaproteobacteria bacterium
Lineage: Bacteria; Pseudomonadati; Pseudomonadota; Betaproteobacteria
Description: tRNA-Ile
Rfam family: tRNA
About the family: Transfer RNA (tRNA) molecules are approximately 80 nucleotides in length. Their secondary structure includes four short double-helical elements and three loops (D, anti-codon, and T loops).
Source: RNAcentral